ACUGGCAGUGAGUUUGUUAUGGUG
This 24-nucleotide unclassified non-coding RNA is filed under the name Mus musculus (house mouse). Its description in RNAcentral is "oocyte_clustered_small_RNA11163". The record is from RNAcentral. Lineage: Eukaryota; Metazoa; Chordata; Mammalia; Rodentia; Muridae.